Molecule: long non-coding RNA, 1033 nt
Filed under: Cyanistes caeruleus (blue tit)
Lineage: Eukaryota; Metazoa; Chordata; Aves; Passeriformes; Paridae
Description: lncRNA (ENSCCEG00000015444.1)
Source: RNAcentral
GUCUCUGUCUGAGCCAUGGCUGGAGACUUCUGUGUAAUGAAAAAACCUUCCAUAGUUAAUAUUUUUUGUCCCUCUAGUAAUAUUAGCUAAGAUAAUGUUAUAAUAGAUUUUUGAGCAGAAGUCUUAGUUCUGCUGUGCAAAGUUGAAAUACACUAUGGAAGACUUUUUUUAUCUUUGCAGCAUUUCUAGGGAUUUCUUUUUUUCCAGAAACAUGAAAAGAAAAAAGCAUUGGCAAUCUUCAUUGUAAUGAGUCCAUUUCAAGAAGUGGUGAAUGGUUUCUUUAUUAUUCAUUUCUAGCUUCUCAAGAGAUUUCAGAAGGUUUAUUCAAAAUUAAAUUUUUUUCAUGAAUAUGACUUCAUGUGUGCAUGGAAUUGUAACACAGAAAACAGAAAAUUACCUUUCCUGAGUCAAGCACUGUGACUGUAAUAUGAAAAGAAAGAUGAUGCAACAUUAAUUGCUUCUGCGGUAAGAAAAAAUUGUUCUGGUAAGGUGUGAAAAUAAUGCAGUUUUGCCUUUUACUUUAUAUAUUGUUAGAAGAGUAUUUUGUACUUUAAAACAUUCUUGUUGUUUGACAUACUGCCAAUGAACCAUGCCAAAAUAACAGAAGUUUCUGCCAUGCAACCCUGAGAUAUGAGAGACAAAGAAAACCACAUCACACAAGAACUCCAUCACUGGAAAUCAUCAUCAGUGAAGAUGAGAAUAGGGAGAACAAAUAAAGGAAAGAUACCCAGAACAGUUUUCAGCAUUCUCCGUUUCCAAACAGAGAAAAUAUCAGCCUAUAUGCCAAUAUGAUAAGCAACUAGAGAACAGCAUCCUUCAAGGAAUAGAAUCUGGUAAGGUUUCAGGAAUUUACAGAUGCUGUACCUGCUACUGGCUUCUACAGAAAAAGCCACAUUCUCUUUUUAAUUUCAUGGAAGAUUUUACUAGUUUCAACAUUACCUAAACCUCAUUAUUUAAGACAAAGGAUUUUAAAAUGGGUGUUAGGAAGAUGCAUUGUCACAAAUAAUGGUAAAGAAGUCCAUCAGCCACCAAA